RNAcentral lists this ribosomal RNA (247 nucleotides) under uncultured bacterium. RNAcentral's name for it is "partial 16S ribosomal RNA". It matches the Rfam family "Bacterial small subunit ribosomal RNA", at positions 15 to 258 of the family's 1533-position model. The record is from RNAcentral.
GAUCAUGGCUCAGGACGAACGCUGGCGGCGCGCCUAACACAUGCAAGUCGAACGAGCGAGAGAGAGCUUGCUUUCUCGAGCGAGUGGCGAACGGGUGAGUAACGCGUGAGGAACCUGCCUCAAAGAGGGGGACAACAGUUGGAAACGACCGCUAAUACCGCAUAAGCCCACGACCCGGCAUCGGGUAGAGGGAAAAGGAGAAAUCCGCUUUGAGAUGCCUCGCGUCCGAUUAGCUAGUUGGUGAGGG